RNAcentral lists this ribosomal RNA (476 nucleotides) under uncultured bacterium. Its description in RNAcentral is "partial 16S ribosomal RNA". It matches the Rfam family "Bacterial small subunit ribosomal RNA", at positions 355 to 824 of the family's 1533-position model. The record is from RNAcentral.
UAGGGAAUCUUCCACAAUGGACGCAAGUCUGAUGGAGCAACGCCGCGUGAGUGAAGAAGGUUUUCGGACCGUAAAGCUCUGUUGUUGGUGAAGAAGGAUAGAGGUAGUAACUGGCCUUUAUUUGACGGUAAUCAACCAGAAAGUCACGGCUAACUACGUGCCAGCAGCCGCGGUAAUACGUAGGUGGCAAGCGUUGUCCGGAUUUAUUGGGCGUAAAGCGAGCGCAGGCGGAAGAAUAAGUCUGAUGUGAAAGCCCUCGGCUUAACCGAGGAAUUGCAUCGGAAACUGUUUUCUUGAGUGCAGAAGAGGAGAGUAGAACUCCAUGUGUAGCGGUGGAAUGCGUAGAUAUAUGGAAGAAUACCAGUGGCGAAGGCGGCUCUCUGGUCUGCAACUGACGCUGAGGCUCGAAAGCAUGGGUAGCGAACAGGAUUAGAUACCCUGGUAGUCCAUGCCGUAAACGAUGAGUGCUAAGUGUU